AACGAACGCUGGCGGCAGGCCUAACACAUGCAAGUCGAACGAAGUCUUCGGACUUAGUGGCGCACGGGUGAGUAACACGUGGGAAUAUACCUUACGCUGGGGGAUAACAGCGGGAAACUGAUCCUAAUACCGCAUACGCCCUUAGGGGAAAGGAUCUGUGGGCGAAAGAUUAGCCCUCGUCCGAUUGGCUGGUUGGUGAGGGAAUGGCGAACCAACGCCGCGAUCGUUAGCUGGUCUGUGAGGAAGACACGCCAGACUGGGAAUCAGACACGGCCCAGACUCGUACGGGAGGCAGGAGUGGGGAAUAUUGUAGAAUGGGCGCAAGCCCGACACCGCCAUGCCCCGUGAGUGAUCAAGGCCUUAGGGUUGUAAAGCUCUUUCUCCCACGACGAUGAUGACGGUAGUGGGAGAAGAAGCCCCGGCUAACUUCGUG
RNAcentral lists this ribosomal RNA (433 nucleotides) under uncultured bacterium. RNAcentral's name for it is "partial 16S ribosomal RNA". It matches the Rfam family "Bacterial small subunit ribosomal RNA", at positions 29 to 507 of the family's 1533-position model. The record is from RNAcentral.